GCUAUCGUGGCAAAGCUUGGUAAAUGCAG
This 29-nucleotide transfer RNA is filed under the name Tyrannus tyrannus (eastern kingbird). RNAcentral describes it as "partial tRNA-Leu". The record is from RNAcentral. Lineage: Eukaryota; Metazoa; Chordata; Aves; Passeriformes; Tyrannidae.